GAUGAACGCUGGCGGCGUGCCUAAUACAUGCAAGUCGAGCGAAUGGAUUAAGAGCUUGCUCUCAUGAAGUUAGCGGCGGACGGGUGAGUAACACGUGGGUAACCUGCCCAUAAGACUGGGAUAACUCCGGGAAACCGGGGCUAAUACCGGAUAACAUUUUGAACCGCAUGGUUCGAAAUUGAAAGGCGGCUUCGGCUGUCACUUAUGGAUGGACCCGCGUCGCAUUAGCUAGUUGGUGAGGUAACGGCUCACCAAGGCAACGAUGCGUAGCCGACCUGGGAGGGUGCUCGGACACACUGGGAAUGAGACACGGCCCAGACUCCUACGGGAGGCAGCAGUAGGGAAUCUUCCGCAAUGGACGAAAGUCUGACGGAGCAACGCCGCGUGAGUGAUGAAGGCUUUCGGGUCGUAAAACUCUGUUGUUAGGGAAGAACAAGUGCUAGUUGAAUAAGCUGGCACCUUGACGGUACCUAACCAGAAAGCCACGGCUAACUACGUGCCAGCCGCCGCCGUAA
Molecule: ribosomal RNA, 515 nt
Filed under: uncultured bacterium
Lineage: Bacteria
Description: partial 16S ribosomal RNA
Rfam family: Bacterial small subunit ribosomal RNA
Source: RNAcentral